This is a non-coding RNA of Taeniopygia guttata (zebra finch), 3338 nucleotides long. Lineage: Eukaryota; Metazoa; Chordata; Aves; Passeriformes; Estrildidae. The record is from RefSeq and is a predicted model, not a curated record.
AAAAAAACAAAACAAAACAAACAAAAACAAAAACAAAACAACCUAAAAAAAAAACAGUUAGAGAAGCAAAGGUAACAUUUGCUUAAAGCUUUCACUUGGAAAACUAGUCCCAGUAUCCACAAUUCAGCCCAUGAACUUUUGUGUAAGAAAAGCGUAAUGGUCCUGGCCUGAUCUGCUUGCAUGACACACAGGGACUAAGUGGAUAGCUGCUAAUAUGAGGAUUAUCCCUUUUCCAUUCUGAAAUUUUAAAAUUGUGAUUUCUAACUUCUCCACAACAGAACGAAGUAAUCACUGUACUUAUUGAAGGAAAAAAACAACCUGGGGCUGCUGUCAGAAAAUGAAUGAACACCGCACUUAGGUGGAAGCCUCAACACCACAGUAACAUGCCAAGCAGGCAAUUCCUGCUGUCAUCAUUGAAGAGCAAUUUGUGAAAACAUGAACCAGCACUUUUCUCUACAGUACUGCAAGGCCAAAGAAUAGCAUCAACAGCUGCAAAACAGAUGUUGUUUUACAGAUGCUGUCAAGAACCACACAGGCUACUGCUAAGCUAUCAGAAGUCAUACACGUUUCAUGCUGCAGUCUGUGAGCGCUGAAAGAGUGGCAUGGCAGGCACCAGCUGUAUCACAAUGGAAAAGGUUUCAAACCAGUUACUCUUCUCCCAGCCUUCUGCGGCAGGCAGGGAUUUCCCAGAUACAUUCCGGUUUUAGCAGCUUAACUGUGGAAUAGAUAGAACAGAGAACUGCCAAGAUCCACCACCUGCAAUAGUCUGGUACUUGUGAAAGAUGUAAGACUUUGGCGAAGUUCUUUAUCCUCUCCCACUACAAACGCACUCGGGAGUUCUGAGUCUAUAAAAAUAUUAUCUUCUAAGCAAAUAUCAACACAAUAGUUUAAACAAGCAGAGUUAUUUACUGGUAGAAAUUAAAAAGUUCUCUUCCUCGCAGAAGAAAAAGCAUUUCUCACAGCAAACAUUUCUGUGAGGAAAACGAGUCAUAACUCUUUCCAAUUGCCAUUGGCUAUUAGUAUAAAUUGCCCUGCUUGCAUUUGUUCAGGAAGCUUUUUCCAAGACCUGGAUUUUAAAAAGUUAAACUCUUUUGGACUUCCUUCUGAAUUCUGUCAUCUCCAUUUUCUUGCACUCUUAUCUCACUUCCCCAGUCUGGCAACUUCCCUCCUCAGAGCUUAGUAAAACUAAGUAACUGUCAUAUGUGUUUACAUUACGUGCUGAGCUCAAAAAGGCUGAAGAGCCAGAAUUUUCCUGAGAACCAGAAGCAGAAGAUUAUGUAGCAGGGGAAAGGGCAGUGACAUCACUAAGUCUCCUCUAGGCAAGUAGGAGGUAAACAGAAAGAGGAAGAGCCAUUCUAAAGGCAAGAAUUGUCAAAACAAUGUUUAAAAAUAUGCUUUCACCUUCACGGUUUAUUUUGUGGCUCUUCUCUUUCAACACAGAUUGCAUUUAGUAACAUAAAAAAGAGACAAAAUAAAAAAAAAAAAAAAAGAGGGGAAUGAAUGAUCCUGAUUCCUGCCCAAGAAUCAGAACAUCUUAAGAAAAAAAUCUGUUACUCAAAUCUCAAAGACCAUUUAAUGAAAUUUGCAGUCACUUAAGUGAGACAUAAUUCCACAGAACAGUAUCACCAACUUCUUCAUUCUAUCAUUCUAGGUGAAAUGGUGCCUCCAGUUUCAACUCCAGAAUAUCCCAAUUGAAACUACUACUCUUUGCCAAACUUCUAAAUAUCUACCCUUAGAGAUUAAAAGUAUAUUUUUACACUCUGCCAUACACACUAAAGUACCAUGGAGAAUAUAAUAAUCAUAACCCCAACCAGCUCUUCUGCCUACAAAAAGAGAAACCACAAGAAGAUACACUACGCUCUACACAGUGUGAUGUUUGUAAGAUGUCACUCCUGCUUCUCCUAAUUUCAUAGGUAAUUUGGCUUCUUUCCCUCCCAGUUUUCAUCAUCCAACCAAAGCAAAGGGUAACGUGGUCUUGGACAAAAAAAACUGCAAUAAUAGGCUAAAUGAUAAAACAUUUAUUACCUUGAUUCCUGUAACAUUUUUUUUCUAGGAAAAAUAUGGGAGAAAACAAAUCUAGUAAAUCUGAGACAGAGACAUCAAAAAAGUGAAAACAUCUGGAUGAAGAGACUACUCCUAUGCCAGCUACACUAUCUGAACAGAAUCUGGAAACACAUGCUUCAACAAAUUAGCUCUUUGCAGAAAUAACUGUCAGCAUGUAAACAGAAUAACAGUUAAGUCAGAGUGAAUCAGCAAACUCUUCCAAACAGCCAAGAGCAAUAGAUGUCAGUGUCUCCUCUGGACUCUCCAGAAAUGCUUUCUUCAGCCCACCCUUGUUUUUCAGCUUCAGUUAAGAAACUGCACUUCAAAAGGUUUUAAAACCAGCUGUUGCACAGAAGCGUGGACCCCAAGAACCAUUCCCCAAGGUAAAGCAGAGUGACUGAUGCAAAGUUGACAAAAGCAACCUGUGACCAUGAUGCAAUGAAAAAUCCAGCUAGGCCCCCCAAAAAUGCCUGUAAAAGAUGCUGCAGACUCUUUGACACUUUUUACUUCAUUGAAUCUAAAUAAUUAGAUAAACUGGAGCUAAGUCUAGAAUACAAGUUCAACACAGUUUAUUACAGCCAAGUUUGUUCAUGAUUUGCAAAUUAUAAUAAAUUCUUACUUCAAUACUGAGUAAGAAUCGUCUCCAUCUGAAUUAGUUGCUCUAAGAGGUAAAGUUUUGUACAUACAUUUACAAGACAAAUUGCUGAAGCCCACUGAAGAGAACUCCAAGUUUAAAACCAACCAAUGAUCUCUCCUCUCUUUAUGCAUGCUUUGAGCUCCUGAAGAUAUUCCUAAACAAAGUACAAAUCAAUAAAUACUAGUAGUUCUUAGAUCUGCUAAAUAUAAGAUCCAAUUAGCAAACAAAAGCCAAUUAAAAAUACUAGGCAGGAAUUAAUAAUGUCAGAGUAGACCACUUCUGACCAGGCAUUCCAGCACUUAUAAAUGGACAUCCCUCUCCCCUCUAUGGCCCUUCAGAGUUUGCCACAACUACCACUAACCAGUCUUUUAAAUAUUCUUUUUUCCUUUAAUUGAUACUUAGUAAGGACUUUGAUUACUAGUAGGUGCAAUAGUCCACCCACAUCUAGGCCCAAACUACACAUAACAAUAUUUGUCUACCAAUCCACCAAAUAAGAAGUGAAUUAAGUUUCAUGUCAUUAAAGUAAAUACAGUCACAAGGCACUACAUCCCCUUGACUGGCACACAGACAAAAAGAAAAUAUAAAAAACCCCCAGCCAAAUAACAGAAGAAGUCAGACCAAGUCCUUAAUUUUUUAGAUUCCUGAUAGCACUCUUUAA